CCCUCACUUCACAAUCACAUCUUAUUCAUGUCAUUACCUUUCAGUGGCUUAUAUGUUUCGUGAACAAGUGUUUUAAAGGAUGAAGCACAGGAAAAGUAAUAUUUCAUCAGAAAUCUCUGACGAGCACUUUGAGAACUCACAAAGAAUUGCAAACACUUCCACUGAACCAGACAUUGAUGCAUUAGUUUCACAAAAACAAGGAAAAAUAUCACACUAGUUUUAUGUUUAUGUUAUUCUCUCUUUUUUAUGUUUUAAUAAAAAAAUACAUUAGAAAGUAAGUUGUCUUACUUACCCACAGUAACGAUAUUAUGUAUUUUAUACGUGGCCCAAGACAAUUCCUCUUCAUUCAGUCCAACUCAGGCAAACCAAAAGGUUGGACAUCCAUGCCAUAGACCUAAAUUCAGCUGACCAACCAAGUCCUGCAACUGAGUAAACUUGGGCUAAUGAGUGAAUCAGGGCAGCUGGUCUCACACACUUGCUUUAAAGGAAAUAUUGAAAGAAGAAAAAUAUGUAUCUUCCAUAAAUAUUUAAGGUAAAGUGUGCUUGUGACAAUUCCUGUACCUCAAGCCUUAGUUUCACAAGUUCCCUAACUUGUCAACUGACACAGAUGCCAGGAGCCGUCCCACCCUCCUUACUCCCAUCCUACAUUGCUCUUUCCCUUCUAGCACAUAUGCACAUGUGGCUUCACAACAAGCCAGGCUAGGGAACUGGCACAGAUGAUAAAUGGUAGCAUAACAGCAUCUUCCAGUGGCAGUGCUAGCUGAGAGGAUCUGUGCAACCACAGCCUACUGCCUCAGCCCAGAAAUAUAGGAAUUAAACAUAUGAUUCCUUCUUUUAUUCAAUUUAGCACAAGGGCUACUCAUGCCUGGCUUCAAGCUACCCUUCUGCACCAGCACUGUCUGGUCAUGGAGACGAUUUUUUUUUUUCCAAGGAUGUGGGCUAAUUUUUAGUUGGAGCAAUGAUAAAAAAUAAGUAAAUAAAUAAAAAACAUAAGCCUUAGCAAAAUUUUGUUUUUUAAAUCUAGAAGGGACUUGGAAAAAAAAAAAAAAAAAAAAAAGUGAUCCACAGGAAAUAAGAAGGCUCAAGGGACAAGAGCAAGAAGAUCCAAAUUAAACACAAUGAAAUAAAACAAGGCCCAGAAAUGAAGCUGUAAACAGCAAAGGCUCUCAGAAGAGUUCCUCAAAGGAAGUACCCAGGUUUCACAGUUUCAGACAUUAAAAAGACAGGGCUUCAGCAGGAGCACCAGGCUUAAUUCUAGUCCAUGCUGCCACCAGUGAUUAUAGCAUGUGAUCCCCCUUCCCAUUCAGAUUAAUCAAGACCACCGAGCUACUGCACAGAUAGCACUACAAGUACUUCAUCAGCCACGAGCUGGCAAAAUGAGAUUGUGCAUGGAAACCAAAUAUUAACAACUGAGACUUAAGAAUAAUUCAGAUUUAGAACAACUUCAAAUCAUAUUUUCAAUGCCUUCUCCUCACCCAGUUCAGUUGCACUCCAGAAACCCAGGUCACUCAUACAUUAUCACUCCAAAACAACCCACCUCCCUCCCACACAAGCUUUUAAGAGGACUUUGUCCUUAUACAAGUUACCUCCAAUAAGCCUUUUAGAUUCCAAGAAAUUCUAAAACAUCAGUGAAUGCUGUCACAAAACUUCAAUAGCAUGUUAUGGAUGUGGUUUGGUCAGCAAGUGAGGGGGAAGGACAAGGCAACAGCAUCCAUAUCCAGUAAUCCCUUGGCAAAAGUGCUUCCCUACCCCUAUAUUGUCUGCCAGAUUUGAUCCAUCCAACUUCUGAAAAUAAUUUAAAGCACAAAGCGUAAGGAUAACAAGGGUGCUGGGUGGGCCAGGCAGGAGCUUUUAAGGCUGGGCAAGUCGCUUGGGGCACCAAGGGUGUAACCACAGCUCUGGGUUAAGCUCCAAGUGGUGAGAAGGGAAAUGUGCAGCAAGCAUGCGUCUCUUCUUCCGCUCCUCCAUGACAGGCCAUAAAAGUCACAAGACACGAAUGAGCAAAGGUGUCCAGAGUCCAAAUGCAGCCCUGAGACACCAGGGCCUCUGAAGUCCACAGUCCAGCGACCAACGCAAGACCUGACUCUCAUGUGAGAGGCAUAGCAGCAGUGCGCAAAAGCGCACCGGCGGCCGGGCCCACAUUUCUGUUUCUACCUGUGAGGGGCAGGAGCAUCACGAAAAGGCUGCGAAGGCCCCCGAAGGUAUAAGCUCCUUGCUCCUUCUCCCCGUAGGCACCAGAGCGGACGUCUCCGCACCUGGCUCCGCGCGGCUUCUCCGAACGGCGAUUCCCCACACAUUAAUCCACACCUACGCGCAUCGGGCCGAGCCCCGCGUCACAGAGGAGGGCAGCAGGCCCGUCGUCCCACCGCGGAAUGAAAGCGAGUUCCUUCCCCCGAGAUCCUUCCUACGCCUCCUCCCCGUCGGAUCCUGAAACGGCGGGCCGCUCUCCCGGCCGUCCUCUCCCUACCACACCGGCCCCGGGAAGAGCGCCCCUCCAGCCCGGCCUCAGCCCGGCCUCAGCCCGGCCUGUGUGGGAUCGGGCGCCAGGCCCGCUCAUCUCCAGGCAAACGGCAACGCCACUCUCACAGUGCCCUUACCUGCGGCGGCCGGGCCGGGGCCAACGCUGCCCCCAGCACCGCUCCGGCUGGGGCCCCCCUGUCCUGGGCGACAGCAGGCUGAGAUCUCUGUGCUUCCCCCAGGGCUGCAGGUAUGUCAUCAGCGCCGCAGCUCCCAGGUGAGCCGGGCACACCUACAGGAAGGCAGGCAGGCCGCCUGAUUGGCGUGCGGGGUUGACAGCGGGGCUCGCACCCCCGCUGGUGGGUGCGGGGCUGGGCGCGAGGAGAGUUGUCUUCGUCCUCUUCCUGGUGAGCUCUCACACUGGAGUCAUCUCGGUGUUGGAGCUGGCCGUGCGGUGGCUCGGAGCACGACGAGGAAUGUUUCUGUGCGUAACUCGGGGUGGAAAACGCGCUUAACGCUGUUUUUUUGGUUUUGAUUUUUUUUCAGUCUUGAAGGCGACAGCAGAGCCAGCAUACCUGCCCCCUGUCGUUUGCGGUUCUAGAAAGACGAACUAUGACAUUUACUUUUUUUACCUUCUUCAUUACCCGAGUCUCUCUUCUUGCUGCUUAAGGUUGUUGUUUUUGCAUGUGUGAACCCUUCUGCUGUGUUUCCUCCCCCCUCAACAGAUAGCCAGGAUUUUAAGGGAAAACACCAGGUGCUAGAAGAGUUGUCCUCACAGCAUAGAGCACAGCUCAGCCCCUGCAGUAGAUCUCAGAGAUCCUAACAUUAUGUCCUGGAUUGUCAAAUAGGGGGCUCUUGAAGCUUAAGAAGAAAGUUCUUCCUGCAGACCAGCUGCAUGAGGGAUCUCCAAAGUUGCCCUCCUGGGAUGGAGAGGGACAUUUUUGCCAACAGGCCUAUUGUCCAACACUGUAUAUCAGCAGAGGAUUCUUAAUGCCUCUCACUCCCAUAACUCAAUCAUGCAAAAAUGAAACCUUUCCCAUAUGGUGAGUGAUCAAAGCAGAGCGCUCAGAUGUGACCUUCCAUUGUACAACAUGCUACCAUCCAUAACAGUGCUGUUUAAGUGUAAUUUGUCUGGAGCCAUGGUGCUGUUGUUGGAAGGGCAGACUGAUGAGGGAUUGUUUUGUAUGAGUAAAAACACAGUUCUCGUGAAGCAAACUUUUGUCCUUAACUCAUAAAAAGGGCCUUUGAAUGAUUCAUACAGUGAUAUUUUUAUUUUUCUUUGCAUUUAAUUAAUAGUAGCACAAGAAUAAUACCGCAAGUAAAAUAUAAAAGCAGAAUGACCUUAUAAAAGAGUGCUUUUUCUACCUUAGAAAAAAAACUUGGUACAUUACAUUGAAGGCUUAUGUUGUAAACUGACUGAGGCAGAAACCACAUCUUUGUCCUGUGCUCGUGAUGCAUUUCUCUCAGUGAGAAUCUCUUCUGAAAUUAUCACAUUGCAUAGGAUGGAUGAAUUACAGUCCCCAAACCAUCACAGGGAAAAAGAAAUGAAGAUGAAAUGUUUAAAAUGUUAGCUUGUCACAACUCUAAGUUGGUGGAUAGGAGGUCCAGAUAUUUGAUUUCCACCAAGGGACAGAAGGUGAAAGCAACCAACUGUGUAAGGUCCUGGAUCUUGAGUGAUUAGAAGCUACAGCUCACAAGGACUAAUAAAGGGCAAAUAAUGAUUAUAACAGUUCUAGAAUAUGUAAUAUUAUGCUUCCUCAGAGCUCCACAAGGGUAAAAUUGCCUUUCUGUUUUGGGCAUCUGCUCCAGAUGCCCAAGCUAGACACCAGCCCAGCACCGAGAUACUUUCUUUUAACUCUGCAAAGAUCCUAAUGUGGCUGAUGCCCCACUUUUGCUACCCUACUGUCCCCAUACACCCUGCUGUUUUUUAUAACUUCAUUUCACCAUGUGAGUAUACCUCCUCCUCCCUCGUUAGUGAUUCUUAGAAAACGAAGAUAGGGCAUUGUUACUCCAUGCACUGGAGCAAUAUCACAUUGUUGUCUGUAGUGUCUGUGCCUUAAGUUCUCUGCAGGAUUUCCCAGACCUGCUUGGAUUAUUCUUUCCUUUAUCCUAUCUCUAAUAGAAGAGUGAAGGAUGCCCUGCAGGAGUCGCUGUAAACAUUGCUCUGUUCAGCUGCUAAUUUCUUGCUGAAGCGACUCCAACUCUUCCCACACAGAGAUAAGGCUUUUCUCCAGCUUGAACCAACUGAUGCUGAGUCAGGUCAUAAUGCCCAUCAAAACCCUUGCCACAAGCACAGUUUCUGAAUGAUUUCUGUCCCAUUUGGGCUCUCUGUUGGUGAAUGUAAAGGUAAAAACCUGUUCAUUUUCGUAUGAAUUCUUAGAUGAUGGCUCUCCAUAUUUUCACUGGUGGAAAACCUCAUCACCAGCUGUAAUAGAGAAAUAAAUCAUUAGAUUUGAUUCCUCCCCUAAAGAGAUAAACACCACAUGAAGAAUAUGAGAGUGAAAGUCAUGAACUGGUUCUUCAGAUGAGGAGUUUAGGGAUCAAAGACAGAAGUAGAAAUGGAUUCUCUUCUUUCAUCUGCCACCAUUUACAAUCAACAUUAUAUCCUUGAGCUUCCCAGCAGUGUGGAUCUCAGAGCGCUAGUGAGAUGCAUCAAAUCACCCAGAUCAUUAUGACCCGGGCUGUAGCAAUUGGGCAGCUCAAUAUGAUGAGAUGUUGAACAUGAUAGAAAGGUGCAGGAAGGGAAGGAGAUUGCUUACCCAAAUCAGAAGAUUCCAGGUUUGCAGGGAAAAACUCUACCAGGAAUGGUGGCAGUCAGCCCUUAAAUGGGGUCUAGGACAGGUGGAGCCAGACUCCACCCCUUUCGGUCACGCAGGUGAAUUGCCUUCAGCUAUGCUCCUGGGGCUGACCUCCAGGUGAUCAAUCAGCGGUUCAGGCCAUGACUCAACAGUUCCUAUACGCAUGCCAAUAAGCACUACCUAGCACAGGUAUGGUAAUGUUAUGGUAGUUUGCAUUUCCAUGCAUAGGAUGGAGAGAGGAACAUCUAUUAUUGGCAAGGGACUGCCAGCAAGCUGCCUAGGGAGGAUAUUGCCCUAAUCAAAUGUACCACUAGCAGUAGCUGGUUGGCUGGCCAAGUUUAUUGGAGUUACUGAUUGUGGGGCCAUUUGAUGGUGAGAAGCCAGACUGUACUCAGCACCCCAUUAGAUGCUUGACAUUACUUACUGAUGUAGCAGCUCAAAAAAACCUCCCUUACACCUCUCUGUCUCUUUUGGUAUUGGAAUUGAAAUACAGUAAUGGACUUAAUAUAGUUGGAUGUAUCAAGAAGGUCUGCAUGCCUCAGUACACCCUAUAUGUUAAGAAUAUUCAGCUCUAAAGUGUGGCCCAAAAGAACCAUUUGAUCUGUUUGUUUGCUUUUUUCCAGUACUUGAGGUUUCCUAUGUGACCAUAAUCUCAGAUAGCAGAGAGAUGACUGUGUAAUCUUGCUAUGAAAUUUCAGGGGAUAAGAGUGCCCCAGAGAACCCAGACAGGACCAGUGCUUCUCUGCAGGAUACUGAAGGUCACUCGGUGGGAGAUAAUAAGAGAAAAUUAGAACAGAGCAGUGCUCCUGAGCACCUGUAACACAUUGAUGAUAUUGUUGUGUGGGGUGGUACAGCAGAAGUUUUCAUGAAAGGAGAGUGAAUAAUCAAAAUUCUUCUGCAAGCUAGUUUUGCUAUUAAGCAAAGCAAAGUGAAAGGACCUGCCCCGGAAAUUCAGUUCCUAGGUAUAAAGUGGAAAAUGGGCAUUGUAACAUCCCAGCAGAUGUGAUUGACAAAAUCACUGCUAUAUCUCCACCCACUAGAAAGAGAGAGAUAAUCUUUUCUGGGUGUAGUGGGCUUUUGGAGAAUGCAUGUUCCAAACUAUAGCCUCAUUGUAAGCCCCCUUCAUCAGGUGACAUGGAAGAAUAAUUUUUCAUGGGGUCCUGAGCAGCAGCAGGAUUUUGAGCAAAUUAAACAAGAGAUAGCCCAUGCCAUGGCCCUGGAUCCAGUACAGACAGGACAGGUUGUAGGGAACAUCCUCUACCUGCUGCUGGAGAGAAAGGUCCCACUUGGAGUUUGUAGCAACGAGCCUCAGGAGAGACCUGAGGCUGACCACCAGGAUUUUGGAGU
Molecule: non-coding RNA, 6602 nt
Organism: Phasianus colchicus (ring-necked pheasant)
Lineage: Eukaryota; Metazoa; Chordata; Aves; Galliformes; Phasianidae
Source: RefSeq, a predicted model, not a curated record